This 352-nucleotide unclassified non-coding RNA is filed under the name soil metagenome. RNAcentral's name for it is "partial contains 5.8S ribosomal RNA, internal transcribed spacer 2, and large subunit ribosomal RNA". The stretch from base 1 to 120 matches the Rfam family "5.8S ribosomal RNA", at positions 35 to 154 of the family's 154-position model. The record is from RNAcentral.
GAUGAAGAACGCAGCGAAAUGCGAUAAGUAAUGUGAAUUGCAGAAUUCAGUGAAUCAUCGAAUCUUUGAACGCACAUUGCGCCCGCCAGUAUUCUGGCGGGCAUGCCUGUUCGAGCGUCAUUACAACCCUCAGGCCCCCGGGCCUGGCGUUGGGGAUCGGCGGAAGCCCCCUGCGGGCACAACGCCGUCCCCCAAAUACAGUGGCGGUCCCGCCGCAGCUUCCAUUGCGUAGUAGCUAACACCUCGCAACUGGAGAGCGGCGCGGCCACGCCGUAAAACACCCAACUUCUGAAUGUUGACCUCGAAUCAGGUAGGAAUACCCGCUGAACUUAAGCAUAUCAAUAAGCGGAGG